Engraulis encrasicolus (European anchovy) is the source of this 474-nucleotide long non-coding RNA. RefSeq lists it as uncharacterized. The record is from RefSeq and is a predicted model, not a curated record. NCBI's taxonomy places the organism in Eukaryota, Metazoa, Chordata, Actinopteri, Clupeiformes, Engraulidae. The transcript is spliced from 3 exons.
UCGCAUGGAUACCGGAGCUGGGGAAUAGGUGCGCACUGAUUAUUAUGGGCGGUAUUUAAGGGGCUUGGCCUGGAGGUUGGCACAUGCCUGGUUUCCUUCGGGGAGAACAGUCCUUGUUUCGUCGUGGGAUUUGGCGUGGAAGGCCGAAGACUAUCGCGUGGUGAGUGCGUUGUGCCUAUCUGGUAGUUUUGGCUGCUUUGAUGACCUUUUUCUGACUGCGUAAUUCGCUUGCUCUGCAGUGUAUCCAAACGGUGCUUUGGUGCCUCGGUUGCCAGAGGGGUUGCGUUGCCCUGUGGGAAGCUGCCAGCUGACUCGUGGGGUGGCUAGCUUUGUGGCAGUGUCUCUGGAUGCUAGCAGCGGAAUGUGGCGCGUUUGUGUUCGGAGCUCACAAUGGAUAGUGGCCUUGUAGAACCAUCUCCAGCCUAACGAUCUGCGGCUACUUGGAGAUUCUGUCCCUCGACUUCCCACGGCGUC